This is a non-coding RNA of Camelina sativa (false flax), 767 nucleotides long. The record is from RefSeq and is a predicted model, not a curated record. NCBI's taxonomy places the organism in Eukaryota, Viridiplantae, Streptophyta, Magnoliopsida, Brassicales, Brassicaceae.
ACCCUCUCCACAUAACUCAACUCUGUCGCCCCCCUUGAGCGACCUGAAGCGUCCCUCCACACCCUUUCACUGUCUUCCAUGUCUUCCAUCUCCAGUGUAACGUCUUCCUCUAUAACGGUAAUUGAAGCAAUUCAAUGCUCUCUCUUUGAAUAAGACCCACUACUAUUUCUUAAAUUGGCGUUAGUUUAAGACGACGACGAGCUUCGGUCGUAAUCCAAAAAGAGGAAGAGACUGAAAUCGAAAGAAGAAAAAAAUGCCGAUAAUGGAGAAAUUGAGGAUGUUCGUAGCGCAGGAACCAGUCGUUGCUCGGGGGUGUUGCUGGCCGUCUUCACCAACAGAUCGUCGGAAGAAUGCUUCGUCACUUUGCCUGCCCGCAACGUCAAAAAAGAAAGCCAACUCCAUGGGCCAUCUCAUUGAUGAGAAGGUUGUAUCCAUCUCAAUUAGACUUUUCAGUUAUUCGAUGUUUUCAUUUGUAUCUGAUUUCAAGAUCUUCUCUAGAGUUGUGUCAUGGAAGGGUCGAUCAAUGUCAACCAUAUGGCAUCUACAAAUUCCUUAUAUACAGUGUUCCCGAUUUAGAAAGAGAGGUUAUAAAUUUCAUAGAGUUGUUAGGCAAAGAAGAUGAUCCAGAUUCAUACAGAUUUGUGAAAUCCCCAAAAUUAAUCACUGACCUUAUAGAUUCUAUAGCUGGAGCUGUUUAUAUAGAUGUGAAUCUUGAUGUUAAAAGACUCUAGGAGAUAAUGGGAAGUCUUUUGGAGCCAGUNUGAAUA